UUAAGUUCAGCGGGUAGCCCUACCUGAUUUGAGGUCAAUGUCAAAAGUGCGCGAUGGCAGGUUCUGAGCAGUCAUCACCACAAGGAGAGACGAAACUUAUUACGUCUAACACUGAUGUGGGAUGUUCCACUAAGUCAUUUGAGGCGAGCCAUUGCUGGCAAAUCACCCAAGUCCAAUCCAACCAGUCCAGAAGAACCAGA
Molecule: unclassified non-coding RNA, 200 nt
Filed under: Tremellales sp.
Lineage: Eukaryota; Fungi; Basidiomycota; Tremellomycetes; Tremellales
Description: partial internal transcribed spacer 2
Source: RNAcentral